Non-coding RNA from Anas platyrhynchos (mallard), 1228 nucleotides. The record is from RefSeq and is a predicted model, not a curated record. Lineage: Eukaryota; Metazoa; Chordata; Aves; Anseriformes; Anatidae.
UAGAUGACAUAAAAGAGGUUCUUGGAGAUGGAUAUGGCUUUCUUGCUCCCAGAGAUGUUAGAUUAAAUCCCUCUUACCUCUCUGGGAGUAGGAGAAGCCCUGGAUGCUUACAGCUGUAAAAAUCCUGAAAAUUUACAUGUCUAUUCCCCAGGAAGGAGUGCUCUAUAAAAUUAUAUGAGAGCGGGUCUGUCUGAUAAACUGCAGAUCUGUGAUCCUGUCUGCAACAUUAAGUCAGUGGAUGUGUACCAAUAGCCUAACUGGAGACAACCAUCAGUUUUAAAGAGUAAGAAAAAUCUGUUCUCUAUUAACAUUUCCUUCUGUCCUUCCUUCCAUCAUGUGAGAACUCCUCUACAAACUACAAAAGUUAAAGGAAAUUUGUGAGCAAUAUUGAACUGUGGAUCAGGGGAAGAUCAUUUCCUGAACCUAAGAACAAGAAGUGGGAAUUCUUCUCCAGUGGAGCACCACAAUUGCUUCAUUUUCAGAGACUGAUGCACCAAACUUUGGAAUCACAGCUCUAGUCCAUGAGCAGCUAAUUAUAUUGUCUACACUGCUAUGUUUUUUCCAGCUGCUGCCCCUACAGAGAUCCAAAAAUUGCCCACAGUUAUCAUACCUGUAAAAGAAGGCUGGGAGUCCAAGACAAAGUCUCUGGAAUUUGAGACAAACCUUUCUGGGAUCUGCUUUACCAUGAUCAGACUCUUUCUCAGAUAAGCUGCUUGGGUACCAGCUGGUGCUUCCAGCACAGUGGGUGCUGCUCCACAGGCCUUGUGCUCAACUUUUAUUUAACAAAACUCUAAAAUAGUGCCCCCAAAGCACCAAGAGUAGAUGAAAAUGAGAUGCUCUUGAACUUUCUACCUCAGCCCAAUCAGAACAUAACCCCUCAAAACCAGAGAAAGGAACACUGCUGCCUUUCAGAAGGCUGCUGUGGGCAAUGCAAUUGCUGGUGCACCCCUGAAGGAAAGCUACAAGAAUCCAUGCCAUGGAGGCUGUUCAGUCAAGCUUGCAUUCCCUGUGUGGAAAACAGACUGCUGUAGUGAUACCACAAUGUAUGUGAAACCUGACAAGUGGUUUUAUUGUCCCAGGCUGUCAUUGCCCUCUUCUUACCAUCUGAAUGUCUUUUCUUCCACUUGUCGUGAUUGCCUCAUUUAUUUGGGCAUUUAAGAAGGGCUAGGUUUCCUUGUGCCCUGUGGGUUUUACCCUAAUAAAAAAAAAAAAAAAAAAAAAAAAAAAA